AAAUAUUUCUGGUCAAACAGAAAAGGGCGCAAGGUGAAUGCCUUGGCAUAUGGAGCCGAAGAAGGACGUUAGCAAACGAAAGCCACGGUUAGCUGCAACAAGCUAUGAUCCGUGGGUAUCCGAAUGGGGAAACCCACAUGAUGAAGAGUCAUGUACCAUAUACUGAAUACAUAGGUAUAUAGGAGGAAAACCCGGAGAACUGAAACAUCUAAGUACCCGGAGGAAGAGAAAGAAAA
This 236-nucleotide ribosomal RNA is filed under the name Helcococcus ovis. RNAcentral's name for it is "partial 23S ribosomal RNA". It matches the Rfam family "Bacterial large subunit ribosomal RNA", at positions 1 to 229 of the family's 2925-position model. Lineage: Bacteria; Bacillati; Bacillota; Tissierellia; Tissierellales; Peptoniphilaceae. The record is from RNAcentral.